CAGGAAACAUAGAGCGCAUACGUCGACAACAAAGAUCUUUUAAAAUAAUGUGUGUGAAGACAUUUCAAAUGUCUUAUUUGAAUAUUAAGCUUGUCGACGCCUGUGCUCUAUGUUUCCUGGUCCUUAAUUUGGUUGAAAUCCAGCUGAUUUUGUCAAAUUUCACAAAAAUCCCUUAUCUUGACCUUUUUGGGAUGUAAAAAUCAACGUGUUAGAAUUAAACUUUGACAAAAACAGUUCUGUUUAACUUUCUCA
RNAcentral lists this long non-coding RNA (252 nucleotides) under Mytilus galloprovincialis (Mediterranean mussel). Lineage: Eukaryota; Metazoa; Mollusca; Bivalvia; Mytilida; Mytilidae. The record is from RNAcentral.